UCUUGGUCAAUUUAGAGGAAGUAAAAGUCGUAACAAGGUUUCCGUAGGUGAACCUGCGGAAGGAUCAUUACCGAAUCGUCGACACGAGUUGUUGCUGGUCCCCAAACGGGGGCACGUGCACGCUCUGUUCGUACAUCCAUUCACACCUGUGCACCCUAUGUAGUUCUGUGGUUUGGGGGACUCUGUCCUCUCGCCGUGGUUCUAUAUCUUUACACACGCUCUGUAAUAAAGUCUCAUGGAAUGUAUGCAGCGUUUAACGCAAUACAAUACAACUUUCAGCAACGGAUCUCUUGGCUCUCGCAUCGAUGAAGAACGCAGCGAAAUGCGAUAAGUAAUGUGAAUUGCAGAAUUCAGUGAAUCAUCGAAUCUUUGAACGCACCUUGCGCCCUUUGGCUAUUCCGAAGGGCAUGCCUGUUUGAGUAUCAUGAACACCUCAACUCUCAUGGUUCGCCGUGGUGAGCUUGGACUUUGGGGGUCUUGCUGGCCUGCGGUCGGCUCCCUUCAAAUGAAUCAGCUUUCCAGUGUUUGGUGGCAUCACGGGUGUGAUAAAUAUCUACGCUUGUGGUUUCCGCCAGGUAACCUUCAGUGAUGGAGGUUCGCUGGGGCUCAUAAAUGUCUCUCCUCAGCGAAGACAGCAUUGUGAACGUUUGAUCUCAUCUCA
RNAcentral lists this ribosomal RNA (661 nucleotides) under uncultured Tomentella. Its description in RNAcentral is "eukaryotic LSU rRNA". The stretch from base 271 to 425 matches the Rfam family "5.8S ribosomal RNA". Lineage: Eukaryota; Fungi; Basidiomycota; Agaricomycetes; Thelephorales; Thelephoraceae. The record is from RNAcentral.